Molecule: transfer RNA, 68 nt
Filed under: Ictidomys tridecemlineatus (thirteen-lined ground squirrel)
Lineage: Eukaryota; Metazoa; Chordata; Mammalia; Rodentia; Sciuridae
Description: Spermophilus tridecemlineatus (thirteen-lined ground squirrel) tRNA
Rfam family: tRNA
About the family: Transfer RNA (tRNA) molecules are approximately 80 nucleotides in length. Their secondary structure includes four short double-helical elements and three loops (D, anti-codon, and T loops).
Source: Rfam by way of RNAcentral
GGGGCUGUAGCUCAGUGGCAGAGCGCUUGCCUCACACGCAUGAGGCACUGGGUUCCAUCUCAGCACCA